RNAcentral lists this transfer RNA (61 nucleotides) under Camelus bactrianus (Bactrian camel). It matches the Rfam family "tRNA". Rfam says of the family: Transfer RNA (tRNA) molecules are approximately 80 nucleotides in length. RNAcentral also lists the same sequence under 1 other name. The record is from Rfam by way of RNAcentral. Lineage: Eukaryota; Metazoa; Chordata; Mammalia; Artiodactyla; Camelidae.
GGGGGUAUAGCUUAGUGGUAGAGCACAAGCUGAGUACCGGCUUCUAUCCCCAGUACCUCCA